Long non-coding RNA from Nerophis ophidion (straightnose pipefish), 255 nucleotides. RefSeq lists it as uncharacterized. The record is from RefSeq and is a predicted model, not a curated record. The transcript has 3 exons. NCBI's taxonomy places the organism in Eukaryota, Metazoa, Chordata, Actinopteri, Syngnathiformes, Syngnathidae.
CAGCAAUAAAUACUUCCUGUUGCAUGCUUGGACUUAGCGUGUCAGACCUGCUUUCCACUCUCAGUGACUAAUGACUUUUUGAUAGUCACACAACAAAGUCUAUGGAGAAAAUGAUGGACCAGUCAAGUUCUCAUCGGAAUGCAGGACUGGCUUUGACAGACUUUACCACAACACCCGGGAUUGUUCCCGACCAGCGUACUAUAAAAGAUGUGCCAGGUUGCUGACACGGUUAGCCAUGAGUCCUCUCUGCACGCC